GAUGAACGCUAGCUACAGGCUUAACACAUGCAAGUCGAGGGGUAACGAGAGGAAAGCUUGCUUUCCUUGUUGACGACCGGCGCACGGGUGAGUAACGCGUAUCCAACCUGCCCCCAACUAGGGAAUAACCUUGCGAAAGUAAGACUAAUACCCUAUAAUUUCCUCAGAUGUCAUCUGACGAGGAAUAAAGAUUUAUCGGUUGUGGAUGGGGAUGCGUCUGAUUAGCUUGUUGGCGGGGUAACGGCCCACCAAGGCAACGAUCAGUAGGGGUUCUGAGAGGAAGGUCCCCCACAUUGGAACGGAGACACGGUCCAAACUCCUACGGGAGGCGGCAGUGAGGAAUAUUGGUCAAUGGGCGGAAGCCUGAACCAGCCAAGUAGCGUGAAGGAUGACGGCCCUAUGGGUUGUAAACUGCUUAUAUACAGGAAUAAAGUUAGCCACGUGUGGUUAUUUGUAGGUACUGUAUGAAUAAGGACCGGCUAAUUCCGUGCCAGCCGCCGCCGUAA
RNAcentral lists this ribosomal RNA (506 nucleotides) under uncultured bacterium. Its description in RNAcentral is "partial 16S ribosomal RNA". It matches the Rfam family "Bacterial small subunit ribosomal RNA", at positions 28 to 523 of the family's 1533-position model. The record is from RNAcentral.